CGUGCAGGCGGUUUCGUAAGUCGGACGUGAAAGCUCCUGGCUCAACUGGGAGAGGUCGUUCGAUGCUGCGGGACUUGAGGUUGGGAGAGGGACGUGGAAUUCCCGGUGUAGUGGUGGAAUGCGUAGAUAUCGGGAGGAACACCAGUGGCGAAGGCGGCGUCCUGGCCCACACCUGACGCUAAGACGCGAAAGCGUGGGUAGCGAACG
RNAcentral lists this ribosomal RNA (207 nucleotides) under uncultured bacterium. RNAcentral describes it as "partial 16S ribosomal RNA". It matches the Rfam family "Bacterial small subunit ribosomal RNA", at positions 568 to 774 of the family's 1533-position model. The record is from RNAcentral.